This 841-nucleotide ribosomal RNA is filed under the name uncultured Glaciecola sp. RNAcentral describes it as "bacterial SSU rRNA". It matches the Rfam family "Bacterial small subunit ribosomal RNA", at positions 383 to 1213 of the family's 1533-position model. The record is from RNAcentral. Lineage: Bacteria; Pseudomonadati; Pseudomonadota; Gammaproteobacteria; Alteromonadales; Alteromonadaceae.
CUGAUGCAGCCAUGCCGCGUGUGUGAAGAAGGCCUUCGGGUUGUAAAGCACUUUCAGUUGUGAGGAAAGUUUAGUAGUUAAUACCUGCUAGAUGUGACGUUAGCAACAGAAGAAGCACCGGCUAACUCCGUGCCAGCAGCCGCGGUAAUACGGAGGGUGCGAGCGUUAAUCGGAAUUACUGGGCGUAAAGCGCACGCAGGCGGUCUGUUAAGCUAGAUGUGAAAGCCCCGCGCUCAACGUGGGAGGGUCAUUUAGAACUGGCAGACUAGAGUCUUGGAGAGGGGAGUGGAAUUCCAGGUGUAGCGGUGAAAUGCGUAGAGAUCUGGAGGAACAUCAAUGGCGAAGGCAACUCCCUGGCCAAAGACUGACGCUCAUGUGCGAAAGUGUGGGUAGCGAACAGGAUUAGAUACCCUGGUAGUCCACACCGUAAACGCUGUCUACUAGCUGUUUGUGAAUUUAAUUCGUGAGUAGCGAAGCUAACGCGAUAAGUAGACCGCCUGGGGAGUACGGCCGCAAGGUUAAAACUCAAAGAAAUUGACGGGGGCCCGCACAAGCGGUGGAGCAUGUGGUUUAAUUCGAAGCAACGCGCAGAACCUUACCUACCCUUGACAUGCCCGGUAAGACCUCGAGAGAUCUUGGUCGUCAUUUAGUUGGCCGGUGCACAGGUGCUGCAUGGCUGUCGUCAGCUCGUGUCGUGAGAUGUUGGGUUAAGUCCCGCAACGAGCGCAACCCUCAUCCUUAGUUGCCAGCAGGUUUGGCUGGGCACUCUAAGGAAACUGCCCGUGGCAAGCGGGAGGAAGGUGGGGAUGACGUCAAGUCCUCAUGGCCCUUACGGGUAGGG